RNAcentral lists this ribosomal RNA (301 nucleotides) under uncultured bacterium. RNAcentral describes it as "partial 16S ribosomal RNA". It matches the Rfam family "Bacterial small subunit ribosomal RNA", at positions 509 to 807 of the family's 1533-position model. The record is from RNAcentral.
CAGUCGCCACGGGAAUACGUAGGUGGCAAGCGUUGUCCGGAAUUAUUGGGCGUAAAGCGCGCGCAGGUGGUUUAAUAAGUCUGAUGUGAAAGCCCCCGGCUCAACCGGGGAGGGUCAUUGGAAACUGGGAAACUUGAGUGCAGAAGAGGAGAGUGGAAUUCCACGUGUAGCGGUGAAAUGCGUAGAGAUGUGGAGGAACACCAGUGGCGAAGGCGACUCCCUGGUCUGUAACUGACGCUGAGGAGCGAAAGCGUGGGGAGCAAACAGGAUUAGAUACCCGAGUAGUCCCUGUCUCUUAUAC